Long non-coding RNA from Sus scrofa (pig), 622 nucleotides. RefSeq lists it as uncharacterized. NCBI's taxonomy places the organism in Eukaryota, Metazoa, Chordata, Mammalia, Artiodactyla, Suidae. The record is from RefSeq and is a predicted model, not a curated record.
CGGGGGCGAGGGGAGCGCAGGCGGCCCAGCGCAACUUUCCGCCGGCGAGAGGCGAGGCUUGGGGCUUUGCCUUCUAAGGGAAAGGCAACCCUGGGGCGGAGCCGCGGCCAGAGCUUCCCCCGCCGCCUCCCGGCUUAAGGACGGCCGAGCGAGUUCCCGGUCUGACCCAGGGCUGGCUGCUGUGGGUGGAUACUCGGAUUUGCAUUGUAUUGAAGACACUGCAAAUAUCUUCUGCAACUCUGGGGUUUGCUGCUGCUUAUAUUGAGCUGCAGUUUUCUCCAUGAAGUCCGAUUGCAGUCUUCUUUCUUACGGGUCAGAGCUCGUUUCUUCCAAGUGGAUGAAGGUCCAGGAGCCCUGCGACUGUUGUCUGAAAGCGCCGUCAUUUUUCCGGCCUGGCAGUUGGUCCAGCUUUUCCCGCUGAAGAGGCCUGAGCUUUUCCAGGACUUUAAACUCGACGCUGAAGCUGGUCUGAGUCCGUGUGUCCAGAUCCCCCCUUGACCUCAACCCCUCACAUUCCCAAUUACUUGGCGUAGGUAUUGGCACCUGGCACAGUCAUUUCCACUUUUAUGCAAUUUUUGUGCAUUAUUAUUUUAAUAAAAAUUAUGCAUGUCUAUGAUUUAAA